GCUGAUCUCCCCCAAGAGUCCACAUCGACGGGGAGGUUUGGCACCUCGAUGUCGGCUCAUCGCAUCCUGGGGCUGUAGUCGGUCCCAAGGGUUGGGCUGUUCGCCCAUUAAAGCGGUACGCGAGCUGGGUUCAGAACGUCGUGAGACAGUUCGGUCCCUAUCCGUCGCGGGCGCAGGAAAUUUGAGAGGAGCUGUCCUUAGUACGAGAGGACCGGGAUGGACGUUCCGCUGGUGUACCAGUUGUGCCGCCAGGCGCAUCGCUGGGUAGCUAUGAACGGAAGGGAUAAACGCUGAAAGCAUCUAAGUGUGAAGCCCCCCUCGAGAUGAGAUUUCCCAUUCCUAUAUGGAAGUAAGACCCCUGAAAGAUGAUCAGGUAGAUAGGCUGGAAGUGGAAGUGCAGCGAUGCAUGGAGCGGACCAGUACUAAUCGGUCGAGGACUUAACCAAG
RNAcentral lists this ribosomal RNA (447 nucleotides) under Faecalibacterium prausnitzii. Its description in RNAcentral is "partial 23S ribosomal RNA". It matches the Rfam family "Bacterial large subunit ribosomal RNA", at positions 2481 to 2925 of the family's 2925-position model. Lineage: Bacteria; Bacillati; Bacillota; Clostridia; Eubacteriales; Oscillospiraceae. The record is from RNAcentral.